RNAcentral lists this ribosomal RNA (426 nucleotides) under uncultured bacterium. Its description in RNAcentral is "bacterial SSU rRNA". It matches the Rfam family "Bacterial small subunit ribosomal RNA", at positions 356 to 774 of the family's 1533-position model. The record is from RNAcentral.
UGGGAAUUUUGGACAAUGGGCGCAAGCCUGAUCCAGCAAUGCCGCGUGCAGGAUGAAGGCCUUCGGGUUGUAAACUGCUUUUGUACGGAGCGAAAAGGUCUGCCCUAAUACGGUGGGCUCAUGACGGUACCGUAAGAAUAAGCACCGGCUAACUACGUGCCAGCAGCCGCGGUAAUACGUAGGGUGCGAGCGUUAAUCGGAAUUACUGGUCGUAAAGCGUGCGCAGGCGGUUAUAUAAGACAGAUGUGAAAUCCCCGGGCUCAACCUGGGACCUGCAUUUGUGAAUGUAUAGCUAGAGUACGGUAGAGGGGGAUGGAAUUCCGCGUGUAGCAGUGAAAUGCGUAGAUAUGCGGAGGAACACCGAUGGCGAAGGCAAUCCCCUGGACCUGUACUGACGCUCAUGCACGAAAGCGUGGGGAGCAAACA